GACGUAGGGUGCAAGCGUUGUCCGGAUUUAUUGGGCGUAAAGAGCUCGUAGGCGGCUCGUCGCGUCGACCGUGAAAACUCGGGGCUUAACUCCGGGCCUGCGGUCGAUACGGGCGGGCUAGAGUUCGGUAGGGGAGACUGGAAUUCCUGGUGUAGCGGUGAAAUGCGCAGAUAUCAGAAGGAACACCGGUGGCGAAGGCGGGUCUCUGGGCCGAUACUGACGCUGAGGAGCGAAAGCGUGGGGAGCGAACAGG
Molecule: ribosomal RNA, 253 nt
Filed under: uncultured bacterium
Lineage: Bacteria
Description: partial 16S ribosomal RNA
Rfam family: Bacterial small subunit ribosomal RNA
Source: RNAcentral